Non-coding RNA from Physcomitrium patens, 1128 nucleotides. Lineage: Eukaryota; Viridiplantae; Streptophyta; Bryopsida; Funariales; Funariaceae. The record is from RefSeq and is a predicted model, not a curated record.
UCUCCCUGGUUUAACUGCAAAUCAUCUGCACGUCAAGCACUCGGUCGAGCUUGUGUGGUGGAUAUCUAGAGGUGAUAUCUUUUGGAAUUGGUCUCUCUGGAGACUGACAAGUUGAGCUUAUGUAGUGUUUGAUGUUGCAUUCACUGUAUGGGUGAUGUUGUUUCUGUAUUUCUAGUGCCUUUCUAGAGGUGAUAUCUUUUGGAAUUGGUCUCUCCAGAGACUUACAAGUUGAGCUUAUUUAGUGUUUGAUGUUGCAUUCACUUUAUGCAUUAUCGACCCCGUACACCCCAGACACUUCGACCGCGGUUAAGUCCGAGAUACCCGGAUCGGCGUCCGCUCGAGAAUCCUUGUUAUCGGCUGAUACUCGGAUAAUCAUGGGGAUUGUUCUCUCUUAACACUAUUUCGCUAUACCAAGCUUCUCUAACGUAAUCCUUUACCUAAAUAUUUGACUUGGCAUCCUAUUUGUAUUCAUUUUAUUCUUACACUGACCUUGAGUCGAUUUGGUGACUCACAGCACUUGUGGUAUAAAUUGGGAUCGUCUACAUUCAGCUGCAUCAACUUAAAUGUUUUGCAAAGGCUUGGCGGCUAUCUUCAGCGUGUCACUUACUAUAAUUUGCGUCAACGAAGUCUAAUUCGUUGCUUGCAUCUGUGGGUAGCAGAUUUUCUCCCUAGUAAAGCAGGUCAAACUAGAUUGCAGUACGGAGUAAUCAAACUGCAGGAUUUCAGAAAGUUUCCUACUCAGCAAUACCUUGCACAUCCAAGCCAUUCGAGAGCAGCUCCAUUAGUCUUUUCAAGGUUUCGACUGCGAAGAGCAAGGAAAAACCAUCACUGUGUCAGGUUAUCCUCCGAGCAUCAAUUUCAGGCCAAGCCAUAUUAAGAGCUUGAUCAGAGAACAGGACCGGCAGGCGACGAGGGCGGAAGCCAGCUCCGAGAAGCAUUAACGUAUUCUCCACGAAUCCGGAAAACCUGAGGAAAAACUGUUUAUUUUAAAUAUGAUGCAGAAUCUGAAUAGCAUUAAUGUUUACACUGGUUUAUGUUCAAUAUUUUGUAUUGUUGAGUUGGAAUUUUUUUCAAUAUUGUAAAUGUUUUUUCAAUCUUGCGCUUUUAUUUAUAGCCCUAUUCAUGUUA